RNAcentral lists this ribosomal RNA (253 nucleotides) under uncultured bacterium. Its description in RNAcentral is "partial 16S ribosomal RNA". It matches the Rfam family "Bacterial small subunit ribosomal RNA", at positions 524 to 776 of the family's 1533-position model. The record is from RNAcentral.
UACGGAGGGGGCUAGCGUUGUUCGGAAUGACUGGGCGUAAAGGGCGCGUAGGCGGCGAUCCAAGUUAGAUGUGAAAGGCCUGGGCUCAACCCGGGAACUGCAUUUGAUACUGGAUUGCUUGAGUCCGGGAGAGGAGAGUGGAAUUCCUGGUGUAGCGGUGAAAUGCGCAGAUAUCAGGAAGAACACCCGUGGCGAAAGCGGCUCUCUGGAACGGUACUGACGCUGAGACGCGAAAGCGUGGGGAGCGAACAGG